RNAcentral lists this unclassified non-coding RNA (261 nucleotides) under Hevea brasiliensis (rubber tree). Lineage: Eukaryota; Viridiplantae; Streptophyta; Magnoliopsida; Malpighiales; Euphorbiaceae. The record is from RNAcentral.
AAAAAAAAAAAAAAAACCCAAAAUAAUAAAAAUAAAAGAAAACUCACUGAGAUGAUCAAAAUGAAAAGGGAAAAGAAAAGAUAAGAGAAGUCCUAACAAACUAUGAAGUCAUGGAACCACACCAACCAUGUUGGUAGCAAUACAAAUUUAGUAGGCGAAUUCCUUCUCUCUACCAAAGAAAGAAAGAAAAAUAAAGAAACAACAAAACAAAGCUACAGAAUUAUCAGUACAGCUACAGAAGAACCUAGAUUAUAAAGAAAU